Non-coding RNA from Doryrhamphus excisus (bluestripe pipefish), 376 nucleotides. Lineage: Eukaryota; Metazoa; Chordata; Actinopteri; Syngnathiformes; Syngnathidae. The record is from RefSeq and is a predicted model, not a curated record.
CAACCUUUUAACCCCCUUGAUGCCAACAUUUUAGCUGAUUUUAAAAAAAUAUAUAUUUUUAAAAUGGAGGCUGUGGUGAAAGAAGAAGAAGAAGGGAGGUGGUGCCAGGCACAGUGUCUCCUCUGCCUCGCUCCGUGUUGACCCGACCCUGGACUCUCCUCCCACUACAUGGGCGAGGCUUGGAAGUUGCAGCACGUAACCACACUUGCUGAUUACUGUGUAAUGUCUGAAUCCAGGACCCGAGCUGACCCCGCAUGUUAGCCUUUGUUUGGCAGACGCCCCGGCCCCCUUUAAUCUGGCCAAGAGAUAAAUCCUUUGAUGGACCUGGCCCGACUCAGUUGAAAGUACUGCUCGACCAUCUCCAUAGAUCAACAUA